GAAUGAAAAAACACAAUCCGGUUGGUAGUCCGGAUGCAUUGUGAUAAUGUCAGUAACCUUCCCCUCCUCGGGAUGUCCAUCAUUCUU
This 87-nucleotide non-coding RNA is filed under the name Bacillus sonorensis. RNAcentral's name for it is "yjdF RNA". It matches the Rfam family "azaaromatic riboswitch aptamer (yjdF RNA)", at positions 7 to 90 of the family's 101-position model. Lineage: Bacteria; Bacillati; Bacillota; Bacilli; Caryophanales; Bacillaceae. The record is from RNAcentral.